GGGCCUCUAGCUCAACUGGCAGAGCAGCGGACUUUUAAUCCGCGGGUUCAGGGUUCGAGCCCCUGGGGGCCCACCA
This 76-nucleotide transfer RNA is filed under the name Nocardioides marmorisolisilvae. RNAcentral's name for it is "Marmoricola solisilvae tRNA-Lys". It matches the Rfam family "tRNA". From Rfam's summary of the family: Transfer RNA (tRNA) molecules are approximately 80 nucleotides in length. Their secondary structure includes four short double-helical elements and three loops (D, anti-codon, and T loops). Lineage: Bacteria; Bacillati; Actinomycetota; Actinomycetes; Propionibacteriales; Nocardioidaceae. RNAcentral also lists the same sequence under 2 other names. The record is from RNAcentral.